AGAGUUUGAUCCUGGCUCAGGACGAACGCGGGCGGCGUGCUUAACACAUGCAAGUCGAGCGGUUCUUAAGCUGUAGUUUACUAUAGCUUAAGAAUAGCGGCGAACGGGUGAGUAACACGUGGGCAACCUGUCCGAAAGAUCGGGAUAACAGUCCGAAAGGGCUGCUAAUACCGAAUAUGCUUACCGGGUCGCAUGAGCCGGUAAGGAAAGGUAGGCAACUUCUGCUUUCGGGUGGGCCCGCGUCCCAUUAGCUAGUUGGUAGGGUAACGGCCUACCAAGGCAACGAUGGGUAGCUGGUCUGAGAGGAUGGUCAGCCACACUGGGACUGAGACACGGCCCAGACUCCUACGGGAGGCAGCAGUGGGGAAUCUUGCGCAAUGGGCGAAAGCCUGACGCAGCGACGCCGCGUGAGCGAUGAAGGCCUACGGGUUGUAAAGCUCUGUCAGAGGGGACGAUAAUGACGGUACCCUCAGAGGAAGCCCCGGCUAACUACGUGCCAGCAGCCGCGGUAAUACAUAGGGGGCGAGCGUUAUCCGGAAUUAUUGGGCGUAAAGCGUGCGUAGGUGGUCAGUUAAGUCUGGCGUGAAAUUCCCUGGCUUAACCAGGGGGGGUCGUUGGAAACUGGCUGACUUGAAUCCAGAAGGGGUAAGUGGAAUUCCAUGUGUAGCGGUAAAAUGCAUAGAGAUAUGGAGGAACACCAGUGGCGAAGGCGGCUUACUGGUCUGGAAUUGACACUGAGGCACGAAAGCGUGGGUAGCAAACAGGAUUAGAUACCCUGGUAGUCCACGCCGUAAACGAUGAGCACUAAGUGUCGGACGAAAGUUCGGUGCUGUAGUUAACGCAUUAAGUGCUCCGCCUGGGGAGUACGGUCGCAAGACUGAAACUCAAAUGAAAUUGACGG
This 901-nucleotide ribosomal RNA is filed under the name uncultured bacterium. RNAcentral describes it as "bacterial SSU rRNA". It matches the Rfam family "Bacterial small subunit ribosomal RNA", at positions 8 to 916 of the family's 1533-position model. The record is from RNAcentral.